UACGUAGGUGGCAAGCGUUGUCCGGAAUUAUUGGGCGUAAAGCGCGCGCAGGCGGUCCUUUAAGUCUGAUGUGAAAGCCCACGGCUCAACCGUGGAGGGUCAUUGGAAACUGGAGGACUUGAGUACAGAAGAGGAAAGCGGAAUUCCACGUGUAGCGGUGAAAUGCGUAGAGAUCCGGAGGAACACCAGAGGCGAAGGCGGCCGGCUGGACCUGACCUGACACUGAGGCACGAAGGCGUGGGGAGCGAACGGG
RNAcentral lists this ribosomal RNA (253 nucleotides) under uncultured bacterium. RNAcentral's name for it is "partial 16S ribosomal RNA". It matches the Rfam family "Bacterial small subunit ribosomal RNA", at positions 524 to 776 of the family's 1533-position model. The record is from RNAcentral.